This 41-nucleotide non-coding RNA is filed under the name Trypanosoma brucei brucei. Lineage: Eukaryota; Euglenozoa; Kinetoplastea; Trypanosomatida; Trypanosomatidae. The record is from RNAcentral.
ACACACAAAUAUAUAACAUAUAGAGCAUUGAGUUAGAUAAU